This 580-nucleotide ribosomal RNA is filed under the name Nechyrus cf. porcatus MB-2015. RNAcentral's name for it is "SSU rRNA". It matches the Rfam family "Eukaryotic small subunit ribosomal RNA", at positions 23 to 579 of the family's 1831-position model. Lineage: Eukaryota; Metazoa; Arthropoda; Insecta; Coleoptera; Curculionidae. The record is from RNAcentral. RNAcentral also lists the same sequence under 1 other name.
GUCAUAUGCUUGUCUCAAAGAUUAAGCCAUGCAUGUCUCAGUACAAGCCAAAUUAAGGUGAAACCGCGAAAGGCUCAUUAAAUCAGUUAUGGUUCCUUAGAUCGUACUCACAAUUACUUGGAUAACUGUGGUAAUUCUAGAGCUAAUACAUGCAAACAGAGCUCCGACCGGAGACGGAAGGAGUGCUUUUAUUAGAUCAAAACCAAUCGGUGGCGGGUUCGCGCUCGUUAUCGUACAACUUGGUGACUCUGAAUAACUUUACGCUGAUCGCACGGUCAUCGCACCGGCGACGCAUCUUUCAAAUGUCUGCCUUAUCAACUGUCGAUGGUAGGUUCUGCGCCUACCAUGGUCGUAACGGGUAACGGGGAAUCAGGGUUCGAUUCCGGAGAGGGAGCCUGAGAAACGGCUACCACAUCCAAGGAAGGCAGCAGGCGCGCAAAUUACCCACUCCCGGCACGGGGAGGUAGUGACGAAAAAUAACGAUACGGGACUCAUCCGAGGCCCCGUAAUCGGAAUGAGUACACUCUAAACCCUUUAACGAGGAUCAAUUGGAGGGCAAGUCUGGUGCCAGCAGCCGCGG